UGCACCCUCGCAGACUCGAACUGCGUACCUCGGGACUUCAAUCCGAUGCUUUUCCUGUUAAGCUAAAGGUGC
This 72-nucleotide transfer RNA is filed under the name Vibrio phage 1.081.O._10N.286.52.C2. RNAcentral describes it as "tRNA-Phe". Lineage: Duplodnaviria; Heunggongvirae; Uroviricota; Caudoviricetes; Pantevenvirales; Straboviridae. The record is from RNAcentral.